GGCCACUGCUAUCAGGGUUAGCCUAAGCCAUGUUAGUCGAGAGGGUUCGGCCCUCGGCGCAAGGCUCAGUAACAUGCGGUCAACCUGCCCUAAGGUGGGGGAUAACCUUGGGAAACUGAGGAUAAUACCCCAUAGGUCCAAAGCCCUGGAAUGGCUUUGGGCUGAAAGCCCCGGCGCCUUAGGAUGGGACCGCAUCCCAUCAGGCUGUUGGUGGGGUAACGGCCCACCAAACCUACGACGGGUACGGGUUCUGGGAGGAAUAGCCCGGAGUUGGGGACUGAGACAAGGCCCCAGGCCCUACGGGGUGCAUCAGGCGCGAAAACUCCGCAAUGCACGAAAGUGUGACGGGGUAACCCUGAGUGCUUGUCCUUUGGGCAAGCUUUUCUGGAGUCUAGAUCACUCCAGGAAUAAGGGCUGGGCAAGACCGGUGCCAGCAGCCGCGGUAAUCCCGGCGGCCCAAGUGGUGGCCACUCUUAUUGGGCUUGAAGCGUCCGUAGCUGGGUUCAUCCGUCCCUGGUUAAAUCCCAGAGCUUAACUCUGGGACUGCUGGGGAUACCAUGAGCCUAGGGACCGGGAGGGGGCGGAGGUAUUCCACGGGUAGGGGUAAAAAACCGGAACGUCGGUUCACGCCGUGUCGGGGUUCUGCGAACCCCAACUGUUUUACAGCCGGCGUCAAUCGGUGACCGGUAUUACAUUCCGUUAAUCCGUGGAGGACCACCGGUAGCGAAGGCGUCCGCCUGGAACGGCUCCGACAGUGAGGGACGAGAGCCAGGGGAGCGAAACGGAUUAGAUACCCGUGUAGUCCUGGCCGUAAACGAUGCGGACUAGGUGCAGCAUACCCUUCGAGGAGUAUGCGGUGCCGUAGGGAAACCGUUAAGUCCGCCGCCUGGGGAGUACGGUCGCAAGGCUG
RNAcentral lists this ribosomal RNA (910 nucleotides) under uncultured euryarchaeote. RNAcentral describes it as "bacterial SSU rRNA". It matches the Rfam family "Archaeal small subunit ribosomal RNA", at positions 22 to 851 of the family's 1478-position model. Lineage: Archaea; Methanobacteriati; Methanobacteriota. The record is from RNAcentral.